Molecule: long non-coding RNA, 254 nt
Filed under: Trifolium pratense (red clover)
Lineage: Eukaryota; Viridiplantae; Streptophyta; Magnoliopsida; Fabales; Fabaceae
Description: long non-coding RNA (TPRA_LNC006431)
Source: RNAcentral
UUUUCAGGUAGGUGAUGAGUCAUAGCUGAUGCGUUCGGUAGCUGUUGCUUUACUAUUUAUUUGGAGUCGCUCUGUUAGGAUGUUGUUGGGAAGAAACUUUAUUUAAUUAUGCUGCUAAAAUUUUAUAACAAUUGGACUAUGUCAUUUGAUUCAGUAUUUUCAAUUCGGACUUUGAAACUUAUAUUAUUUUUGUAUUUUCCGCUGCAUGAUUUUUUAAUCAUUUGAAGAAUUAGUUAAUUGAAGUAAGUGUGACA